GCUGGGUGUGGUGGCGCAUGCCUAUAAUCCCAGCUACUCAGGAGGCUGAGGCAGGAGAAUUGCUUGAACCCAGGAGGCAGAGAUUGCAGUGAGCUGAGAUCUCGCCACUGCACUCCAGCCUGGGUGACAGAGUGAGAUUCUGUCUCAA
RNAcentral lists this non-coding RNA (148 nucleotides) under Pan paniscus (pygmy chimpanzee). Lineage: Eukaryota; Metazoa; Chordata; Mammalia; Primates; Hominidae. RNAcentral also lists the same sequence under 1 other name. The record is from Rfam by way of RNAcentral.